Molecule: ribosomal RNA, 497 nt
Filed under: uncultured bacterium
Lineage: Bacteria
Description: partial 16S ribosomal RNA
Rfam family: Bacterial small subunit ribosomal RNA
Source: RNAcentral
GAGGAAAGAGGGAGGCGUGCCUAAUACAUGCAAGUCGAGCGAACAGACGAGGAGCUUGCUCCUUUGACGUUAGCGGCGGACGGGUGAGUAACACGUGGGUAACCUACCUAUAAGACUGGGAUAACUUCGGGAAACCGGAGCUAAUACCGGAUAAUAUUUCGAACCGCAUGGUUCGAUAGUGAAAGAUGGCUUUGCUAUCACUUAUAGAUGGACCUGCGCCGUAUUAGCUAGUUGGUAAGGUAACGGCUUACCAAGGCAACGAUACGUAGCCGACCUGAGAGGGUGAUCGGCCACACUGGAACUGAGACACGGUCCAGACUCCUACGGGAGGCAGCAGUAGGGAAUCUUCCGCAAUGGGCGAAAGCCUGACGGAGCAACGCCGCGUGAGUGAUGAAGGUCUUCGGAUCGUAAAACUCUGUUAUUAGGGAAGAACAAACGUGUAAGUAACUGUGCACGUCUUGACGGUACCUAAUCAGAAAGCCACGGCUAACUACGUG